GAUGAACGCUGGCGGCGUGCCUAGUACAUGCAAGUCGAGCGAACGGACGAGAAGCUUGCUUCUCUGAUGUUAGCGGCGGACGGGUGAGUAACACGUGGAUAACCUACCUAUAAGACUGGGAUAACUUCGGGAAACCGUAGCUAAUACCGGAUAAUAUUUUGAACCGCAUGGUUCAAAAGUGAAAGACGGUCUUGCUGUCACUUAUAGAUGGAUCCGCGCUGCAUUAGCUAGUUGGUAAGGUAACGGCUUACCAAGGCAACGAUGCAUAGCCGACCUGAGAGGGUGAUCGGCCACACUGGAACUGAGACACGGUCCAGACUCCUACGGGAGGCAGCAGUAGGGAAUCUUCCGCAAUGGGUGAAAGCCUGACGGAGCAACGCCGCGUGAGUGAUGAAGGUCUUCGGAUCGUAAAACUCUGUUAUUAGGGAAGAACAUAUGUGUAAGUAACUGUGCACAUCUUGACGGUACCUAAUCAGAAAGCCACGGCUAACUACGUG
Molecule: ribosomal RNA, 497 nt
Filed under: uncultured bacterium
Lineage: Bacteria
Description: partial 16S ribosomal RNA
Rfam family: Bacterial small subunit ribosomal RNA
Source: RNAcentral